Nothobranchius furzeri (turquoise killifish) is the source of this 929-nucleotide long non-coding RNA. RefSeq lists it as uncharacterized. NCBI's taxonomy places the organism in Eukaryota, Metazoa, Chordata, Actinopteri, Cyprinodontiformes, Nothobranchiidae. The record is from RefSeq and is a predicted model, not a curated record.
GAACCACCGUUCCCAUUAGCGAGUCGCCAGAACUCGGGUUACCGCUGUCUGUGCCGCAGUGCACAGCAUGAGGACUUAUCGCUGACCGUGUAAACCAAUAUCUGUAAAAUAUCCAACGUCCAACUUCAAGCUAACUUCACCGCGGUGAACGGACCACAUCCCGAAGCCGAUGCCCACACAGGUUACCACCGCGGUGGAGGUCAGGACAGUCCGCAUCCCGCUCAUCCCGAGCAAAUAGGAGAUCCUGGAGGUGUCUCCGGUUCUGGUCCGAGGAGCAACACACAACUCAAACGAAUUUGCUCUUAUAGCUUAGAACGCCGCUCCGGUGUUACACCUAAAUGCGUCCCUAUGGAACUGAUGACAUAAGGAGUCCUUUGUGUGUGCUUUGCGUAUGUGAGGGUUUAUUUACAACCUAAACACGUGUAAGUAUGACGUUAGGUGGUCAGUAUGUGUUUGCCGUGCUGAAAAUGAAGAAUAGGAAGCCAGGAGUUUUAUUGUAUUGUCAUUGCAGCGAACAGGGGGCGUAUUUUGGAAUUGUAAGAUGUUCAAGGAAGGUCCCGCCUUUCUUGCCUCUGAUUGGCUAGGUGGGCUCUACUACGAUUGGCUAUUUCAUUUAGCAGUAAACGUCAUCUCUUGCUAAGUGCACUGUCCUCUUACCACCAACAGAACAGCUGGUUUGAGGAAUUUAUUUAUUUAUUUUUUUAAAAGAAAAUAAGAACUUAGCGCCAUUCUUUCCUGUUUUGCUAAAGUUUUUUUUUGUCUUUGAUGAAAAAACUGAAAAAUGUAAGAAGUGAACUUAUAAAUCUUGUUGCAUUUAUCACACUGUGGGACUUACUUUAUGUCUAUGGCUCUAAAGCAUUGAGGUUAUCUUAUUACAGCAGAGUACAUAGGAGAAACUUAUGAAAUAUAAUAAAACUGCCCUAUUUUAC